UACAGAGGUCUCAAGCGUUGUUCGGAUUUACUGGGCGUAAAGGGCGCGUAGGCGGCACCGCAAGUCGACUGUGAAAUCUCCGGGCUUAACCCGGAAAGGUCAGCCGAUACUGCGGGGCUAGAGUGCAGAAGGGGCAACUGGAAUUCUCGGUGUAGCGGUGAAAUGCGUAGAUAUCGAGAGGAACACCUGCGGCGAAGGCGGGUUGCUGGGCUGACACUGACGCUGAUGCGCGAAAGCUAGGGGAGCGAACGGG
This 253-nucleotide ribosomal RNA is filed under the name uncultured bacterium. RNAcentral's name for it is "partial 16S ribosomal RNA". It matches the Rfam family "Bacterial small subunit ribosomal RNA", at positions 524 to 776 of the family's 1533-position model. The record is from RNAcentral.